This 254-nucleotide ribosomal RNA is filed under the name uncultured bacterium. RNAcentral describes it as "partial 16S ribosomal RNA". It matches the Rfam family "Bacterial small subunit ribosomal RNA", at positions 526 to 779 of the family's 1533-position model. The record is from RNAcentral.
CGGAGGGUGCGAGCGUUGUUCGGAAUCACUGGGCGUAAAGCGCGUGUAGGCGGCCUGCUAAGUCUGAUGUGAAAGCCCGAGGCUCACCCUCGGAAGUGCAUUGGAAACUGGCAGACUGGAGUCCCGGAGAGGAGGGUGGAAUUCCUGGUGUAGCGGUGAAAUGCGUAGAUAUCAGGAGGAACACCGGUGGCGAAGGCGGCCCUCUGGACGGUGACUGACGCUGAGACGCGAAAGCGUGGGGAGCAAACAGGAUU